Molecule: ribosomal RNA, 252 nt
Filed under: uncultured bacterium
Lineage: Bacteria
Description: partial 16S ribosomal RNA
Rfam family: Bacterial small subunit ribosomal RNA
Source: RNAcentral
UACGUAGGGUGCAAGCGUUGUCCGGAAUUAUUGGGCGUAAAGAGCUCGUAGGCGGUUUGUCGCGUCGGCUGUGAAAACCUGGGGCUCAACCCCGGCCUGCAGCCGAUACGGGCAAACUAGAAUUCGGUAGGGGAGACUGGAAUUCCUGGUGUAGCGGUGAAAUGCGCAGAUAUCAGGAGGAACACCGGUGGCGAAGGCGGGUCUCUGGGCCGAUACUGACGCUGAGGAGCGAAAGCGUGGGGAGCGAACAGG